GGGUCGUUAGCUCAGUUGGUAGAGCAGUUGACUUUUAAUCAAUUGGUCGC
Molecule: transfer RNA, 50 nt
Filed under: Escherichia coli p0305293.4
Lineage: Bacteria; Pseudomonadati; Pseudomonadota; Gammaproteobacteria; Enterobacterales; Enterobacteriaceae
Description: partial tRNA-Lys
Rfam family: tRNA
About the family: Transfer RNA (tRNA) molecules are approximately 80 nucleotides in length. Their secondary structure includes four short double-helical elements and three loops (D, anti-codon, and T loops). Further hydrogen bonds mediate the characteristic L-shaped molecular structure. tRNAs have two regions of fundamental functional importance: the anti-codon, which is responsible for specific mRNA codon recognition, and the 3' end, to which the tRNAs corresponding amino acid is attached (by aminoacyl-tRNA synthetases). tRNAs cope with the degeneracy of the genetic code in two manners: having more than one tRNA (with a specific anti-codon) for a particular amino acid; and 'wobble' base-pairing, i.e. permitting non-standard base-pairing at the 3rd anti-codon position.
Source: RNAcentral